Molecule: ribosomal RNA, 439 nt
Filed under: uncultured bacterium
Lineage: Bacteria
Description: bacterial SSU rRNA
Rfam family: Bacterial small subunit ribosomal RNA
Source: RNAcentral
AUGGGAACGCGAAGAACCUUACCUAGACUUGACAUCUCCUGAAUAGUGUAGAGAUACAUGAAGCCCUUCGGGGCAGGAAGACAGGUGGUGCAUGGUUGUCGUCAGCUCGUGUCGUGAGAUGUUGGGUUAAGUCCCGCAACGAGCGCAACCCUUAUUACUAGUUGCUACCAUUAAGUUGAGCACUCUAGUGAGACUGCCCGGGGUUAACCGGGAGGAAGGCGGGGAUGACGUCAAAUCAUCAUGCCCCUUAUGUCUAGGGCAACACACGUGCUACAAUGGUGAGUACAGAUAGAUGCGAUACCGCAAGGUGGAGCCAAAACUCUAAAAACUCAUCCCAGUUCGGAUUGUAGGCUGCAACUCGCCUACAUGAAGUUGGAGUUGCUAGUAAUCGCGAAUCAGAAUGUCGCGGUGAAUACGUUCCCGGGUCUUGUACACACCG